Molecule: non-coding RNA, 1482 nt
Organism: Pelobates cultripes (western spadefoot toad)
Lineage: Eukaryota; Metazoa; Chordata; Amphibia; Anura; Pelobatidae
Source: the annotation of a GenBank genome assembly
CAUGCUUUUUGCUAUGAAACCGCAGCCAUUUAGUCACUCGCCAGAGAAGGAUGAGAAACAGCACCCCAGCGAGAGGGACAGCCCCACAUCUGCAACCAAAUCCGUCGGUCACCGAAUUAAGUAAUCUCCGUCUCUUUGUGCAUUGUGUAUGUAUGGUACUCCCAAUUCUUAUAUUUAAUCCGGUGUGUCUCCCACAAUUUUUGUUCUGCUGUAUGUAUGUGGCACGCAAGUCUGCAUGCACUGUGUCUGUUAUGCCAGUUACUCUAACCAGUUUAUUUCUUUUUGUGUGUGUCACAGCUCUGACAAGCACGUUCUCUUAUGGAACACGAAGUACAUGAAGAGGAAUGAAGAAGCCCAUGUUUGAUGCUCGUCUCCAGGGUGGAGUAUUGAAUUUAUAACUAAUGAAGUGGCAUCUGACACAUGACAAGCUGCUCCUGUUUGCACAGCAACUUCAACAUUGUGUACUGUGAUCACGGCAUAGAUCAGAGGUAGGUAACCUUGGGCAGUCCAGAUGCUGUGAAUUACAUCGCCCAUAAUACUGGCAAACCAUUAUGGGAGAUGUAGUGCAAAACAUCUGGAAUACCGAAUGCGGAUGAAUGCAAAAUAUGGUGUGUGUGAAUGGUCAGUAACAAGGGUUGAAGCCUUGACGUGGCGUUACUGCUCACAUGUGUAUUCAUGUGCCAAUUCAACCAAUGUGAGUCACUGUAAUACUUAUAAGGUAACCAAAAGUACUGUGAUUGUGGAGAAUGAAACGCCUGUAUCACCUACACACUGUUUACACUGUGACCGUAUCUCCUAAACACUGCUUACCCUGUGACCGUAUCUCCUAAACACUGCUGACACUGUGACCGUAUUUCCUAAACACUGCUCACACUGUGACCGUAUCUCCUAAACACUGCUGACACUGUGACCGUAUCUCCUAAACACUGCUUACACUGUGACCCAAUCGCCUAAACACUGCUUACACUGUGAAUGUUAUUUUUUUUUUUCAAGUUAGUUUUAGUGUUUGCGGUUUCAUUGAUUUGUUAACCACUCUCCUCAAUCUUUUGUUCUGUGUUUUCUUACAUUUGUGGGAAGAACAAGGUGAUCCUCUCAAUUUUACACUCCUUUACUGAUGGUUCCGGUGCCAGAGACAAACCCACCACCAUUAACCUCGACCUGCUUAAACAGAAGAGGUUACCUUCUUCUAUAGAAAACGUCCAUAUGGCUGUUUUGGAACACAUGCUGCAGACAUGAUUUAACCUUCAUUUUCCAGUGAUUAAGAAUCGUGGACUGUCCAGGGAAAGAGACCAUUACAUUAUUAAGAUACUACCUUCCCAAUGUCAUACAGCCUUUCUUUAAAUGUGAUUGAACUUUCUCCUUCUUGGAUACUACAGUGUGACUUUUCUUAACCAGUUUCUAAAUUUGACUUUUAUAUUUUUUCCACUAUACAUAUAAAGUCUAAAUUGCAUAUUAACUUUGAAGAAAUAAAGUAUUUUGCUG